AUGCGCACCCUCAAGCAGAGGGACGAGCCCGUCGGCACCUACUGCCAGCGCCUCAAGGCCAUGGCGGAUGAACUGCAUGAGCUCGGCGUUCCGGUGGAUGACCGUCGGCUCAUCUCCGCCACCCUCGCCGGCAUCAGCGAGCGAUUCGACAAGGUCACCUCCGUCAUCCCUCUGCUUCGCCCCGCGCCGCCGUACUCUGAGGUGCUCUCCAUGCUUCAACUCGAGGAGACCAAACUGCGCACCAGGAUGGAGCAACCGCAGGCCUUCUACUCCAACAACGGGCCUCGCAACAGCGGCAACGCCGCCCAAGCUCCGUCCCCGCAACAGCCGGCCGUGCGCCCCACCGGCGUCAGCCCGAACUACAAGGGCAAGAACCCGAUUCCCGGUUUUCAGCACCGGAACGCAUCCAACAACGGGUCGACCUCCACGACGCCAUCGGCUCACGCCUCACCAGCACCGCCUCGUCAACCGGCAGCGACACCGACGGCACCCAUGACUCCGCCAUGGCGUGCCCACACUGAUCCCUGGACCGGCUUGGUUCAGGCCUGGCCUGUCCCAUGGACCCAGGCAACUGCCGUCGCCGCGCCUGGCCCCGUGCCCUGGCAGCUGCCGUCGCCACGACUCGUCGGCGGCCCCGGCCUGCUUGGCCGGCCUCCUGCUCAGGCAUACUACUUCGCGCAGAACCAUCAACCGGCGCCUGCGACAUACCCGGCCUCGCCAUUUGCGCCUCCUGCCUAUGCGGCUGCGCCGAUGCAAGCGCCGAUGUACGCACCUCCCACGACUCCUGCGUCUCCUGCCUGGGACCAAGCGGCCUUGGUUCACGCCUUGAAUGCCUAUACCAACCACAAUGAUGGAGGCUGGAUCGUCGACUCUGGAGCAACUGCGCACAUGUCUGGUACGCCUGGAUCUCAAAACCCAGGCCCUGAUCGCACGACAUGA
Molecule: ribosomal RNA, 939 nt
Filed under: Triticum aestivum (bread wheat)
Lineage: Eukaryota; Viridiplantae; Streptophyta; Magnoliopsida; Poales; Poaceae
Description: partial small subunit ribosomal RNA
Source: RNAcentral